Silurus meridionalis is the source of this 552-nucleotide long non-coding RNA. RefSeq lists it as uncharacterized. The record is from RefSeq and is a predicted model, not a curated record. The transcript has 2 exons. Lineage: Eukaryota; Metazoa; Chordata; Actinopteri; Siluriformes; Siluridae.
CGCGCGUGUGUGUGUGGGGCAUUUGCUUUAAAGGAAGAUGGGGGGGUGACUAACAAGCAGCGAGGGAUCUUUUGUGUUGGUGACUGCACCCAUUUUCCGCAUGCUUUUCAUCUCAGGAUUUGCUUGUCUUCAACCUAGCCACACCCUGCAGCUCACCUGUGCCAGACUACAGAUCAGACAAAAGGUUAAGGAUUUAAAGCUGUUAAAGGAUUUGCAUUCCUCUGACAUGAAGGAUUUGCAGCACUUUUUUUUUUGACUAAAACCUUUGGUUCAGGUGACGGUUUUUCAGGUCAAGUUCAGAUUCUUAUGAAUGGAUUUGUUAUUAAUUGAUUUCUAUGUCUGUAAGACACUCCCCAAGGCUAUGGAUUAUUCAGUUUUACAUGCGACUUAAGUCAGUCUGUUGUAUGUGAAUUGAGGAAAUCUUUUUGGAGAUUAUGCUAUUUCUGUACUAGACCUCUUUAUAAUAUAACUGUUUUAUGUUAGUGCAUGUGUGGAUAUCUGUGAUAUCUGAUCGCUGCACCCCAAUUAUUACCCUAAUUGCUAAAUUAUUAA